ACACGAAAUGCAGUAUAUAACCUACAAUGGCCUUCAAAUGGAGGACGCCUCCUGGUGGCUGAAUUUGUUGACCCUCAAGAAGUCAAAAUGCGGGUGGAGGCUCCUCAGGCUCCGGCUGCUCCUGUCAAUGUUGGUCCUACUGUUCCUCCUUCACCACCUGCCAAGCAGCCUCAGCCUCCCCCUCGUAAGCAGGUUACACGGCAGCAGCUUCCACCCCCACCCCCUCUUCCACCUCCACCACCUUUGUCAAACCCACCCCAAACUAGGGAGCGGCUUCCUCUUCCACCUCCACCUCCACUACCUGAAAAAGUUGACCCUCCCAUCGUAACACUGGAUGAUCUAUUUCAGAAAACUAAAGCAACUCCUCGAAUCUACUACCUACCCUUGUCUGAAGAACAAGUUGCUGCAAAACUUAAGGCACAGGGCAAAAACAC
Molecule: long non-coding RNA, 434 nt
Filed under: Vitis vinifera (wine grape)
Lineage: Eukaryota; Viridiplantae; Streptophyta; Magnoliopsida; Vitales; Vitaceae
Description: long non-coding RNA (VVIN_LNC002277)
Source: RNAcentral